RNAcentral lists this unclassified non-coding RNA (1015 nucleotides) under Hevea brasiliensis (rubber tree). Lineage: Eukaryota; Viridiplantae; Streptophyta; Magnoliopsida; Malpighiales; Euphorbiaceae. The record is from RNAcentral.
GAAAUUAUUUAUAGCUAAGUUUUAUAACAGUAGAAAUACAAAUAACCCAAAGCAGAGAGAUAUGGUUGGAAUAGCCUGAUAGUUGUAUAAUAUAAAUAGAUCUUUUUUUUCCCCAACACUUUCUUAGCUCUAAUGGUGCAGGUAUUGGCUAAAACCUGAAAUAAAUCCACAUGUAACUUGUCUUGGAAUGGAUCACUGCACUCGGUACACAUAAACUGCUGCUCCCAACCUUUAAUGGAGAAUCUGGCUGCCAUAGUCGUCAUUAAAUUUAUCGUAACGGUGGGCAUGGAGAUGAGCUGAUGGUCUGGUGUUCUUCAACGCCACCUCGAUAUCUGCAGGUGUCACUGGACCGACAGCUGGCAACUCAUCAUCGGGCACUCGCUCCUGAUUGCCUUCCAAAAUUGUCAUUAACCGUCUCACUGGCUGCAUGGCUGCCUCUUUACACACUAGACGGAUAUCUGAACCUGAAUAGCCUUCAGUCCCCUCCACAAGGAACUCAUAUGGAAUCUCUGCAGUCUCGGGAACUGAAGGCAGAAGUGCCUCGAACAUUGCAAGUCUUGCUUCUGGUUCUGGCAGAGGCACAAGUAUCCUCUUUUCAAGACGACGGAGCAUAGCUGCAUCCAACUCCCAAGGUAGAUUGGUUGCUGCUAAAACAAAAACAAGCUCAUCUGUCUUGGCCAAGCCAUCCAUCUGUAUAAGAAGCUCAGUCUUCAAGCGCCGACUAGCUUCAUGCUCACUGCGUGCUUCACCACGCUGACUUAUGAUCGCAUCGAUCUCAUCAAGAAAUAUGGUAGACGGUGCAUGAUGUCGGGCAAGCUCAAAUAGAACCUUCACCAGCUUCUCUGAAUCACCACGCCAUUUGCUGACAAUUGAUGAUGCAGAGAUAUUAAAGAAGGUAGUCCCACACUCUGUCGCCACAGCUUUUGCAAGCAUUGUCUUUCCAGUCCCUGGAGGGCCAAAAAGCAGAAUACCUUUCCAAGGAGAAAGAAGUCCAGUAAAGUACUUGGGAUAUUUU